RNAcentral lists this unclassified non-coding RNA (2455 nucleotides) under Hevea brasiliensis (rubber tree). Lineage: Eukaryota; Viridiplantae; Streptophyta; Magnoliopsida; Malpighiales; Euphorbiaceae. The record is from RNAcentral.
UUCUCUCUCUACAAUUUUUCAAUGGUGUGUUUAUAUAUAUAGAGAUUCACUUCUACAUAUAUGUAUAGAUUGCAAAAAAAUAGUGAUUUUGAAGUUUCAAUGAAGAUGAUUAUGGUUAUUGAAGCGAUUAGUGCAAGUAGAUUCUGCGAUUUCUCUUAUUCGUCUGCUGCUGCUGCUGGUGUGUUCUCAACUUCGAAGGAGUGUUGAAGAAGAAAUCUGUUUCGAGGCUUUGUUGUUGUGGAUCUGGUUAAGCAACUAUAGCUGUUGGAUUUUUGCUUGAUUUCUGUUGACUGAAGCAUGUGCACUGGCCCAGAAAGACCCAACCAAUCUGUUACUGAUUCUACAUCUAGUAUGAAGGGUAUUACUAAACUCACCGUUGAGACUGAAGAUUCUUUUUCUAGUUUGCUUGAACUUGCUGCAAACAACGAUCUCGAAGGUUUUAAAAGAUCUGUUGAGCUCGAUGCUUCUGCUAUUGAUGAGGUGGGGCUAUGGUUGGUUCGCAAGAAAGGUGCAAAGCAGAUUGUUAAUGAGGAGAGGACUCCUUUAAUGGUAGCUGCCACUUAUGGAAGUUUAGAUGUUUUGAAGUUGAUUAUCUCUAAUCCUGUGGUUGACGUUAACCGUGCUUGUGGUCCAAACAAGUGGACUGCUCUUCACUGUGCAGCCUCUAGUGGUUCUGUCAAUGUUAUUGAUGCAGUUAAGUUGCUACUGUCAGCUGGUGGUGAUCCUAAUGUUGAGGAUGCUAAUGGCCAGCGGCCAGCUGAUGUGAUUGUUGUUCCACCAAAGCUUCCUGGUACUAGAGCUUCUCUUGAAAAACUGCUUCUGAAUAAUUCAUCUGAUGGCUCAGUUGGUGACUGCAAAUUGACAGUAUCUGUGGCUACUUCAGAUGCAUCCUCUCCCAUUCUCUCCUCAUCACCAGAAAAUGGAUCUCCUUGUUCAUCAUUGGAGUCCUCGUCUUCCCCUAUGGCAUCGAAGUUCAGUGACCUCCCUGCUAAUUCUGCACGAGAGAAAAAAGAGUAUCCAAUAGAUCCGUCUCUCCCUGACAUCCAGAAUAGUAUAUAUUCAACGGAUGAGUUCCGCAUGUUCUCUUUUAAGGUUCGGCCAUGUUCUAGGGCCUAUUCACAUGACUGGACAGAGUGCCCAUUUGUCCACCCUGGAGAGAACGCUCGUAGAAGAGAUCCAAGGAAGUACCACUAUAGCUGUGUGCCUUGUCCUGAAUUUCGCAAGGGUGCAUGCCGACGCGGUGAUAUGUGCGAAUAUGCUCAUGGGGUGUUUGAGUGCUGGCUACACCCUGCUCAGUAUCGUACCCGCCUGUGCAAGGAUGGUACAAGCUGUGCUAGACGAAUCUGCUUUUUUGCCCAUACUACGGAGGAGCUUAGGCCCUUGUAUGUCUCUACUGGAUCUGCAGUCCCAUCUCCUCGGUCAGCUGCUUCUGCAGCUAGUGUGAUGGACAUGGCUGCAGCGCUGAACCUUUUUCCUGGUUCACCCUCAGCACACUCUGUGAUGUCUCCUUCUGCAUUUAAUCAACCCAUGUCCCCCACUGCCAAUGGAAUGUCUCAUCCAUCUGCACCAUGGCCGCAACCAAAUGUCCCAACUCUUCAUCUACCUGGAAGCAAUCUGCAGUCUAGCCGUCUGAGGUCUUCCCUUAGUGCACGAGACAUUCCGCCUGAGGAUUUUAACAUGUUGCAGGAUUUUGAUGCCCAGCAACUAGUUCUCAAUGACAUGGCUUGCUAUUCACAGCCACGUCCUAAUUCUGCCACUUUGAACCGAUCUGGUCGGUCCAAGACACUAACUCCUUCGAAUCUUGAAGAGCUUUUUUCUGCUGAGAUGAACUCUUCUCCAAGAUAUUCUGAUCAGGCAGCGGCUUGUGGUGUUUUUUCGCCAUCACACAAGUCGGCUUACUUUAAUCAGUUCCAACACCAACAGAACAUGCUUUCACCAAUUAAUACUAACGUUUUUUCCCCGAAAAACAUUGAGCACCCUCUUUUGCAGGCUUCUUUUGGUGUUUCCUCACCUGGAAGGAUGUCCCCAAGAAGCAUGGAGCCUAUUUCCCCUAUGAGUGCUCGCCUUUCAGCAUUUGCUCAUCGUGAGAAGCAACAGCUGCGAAGCCUCAGCUCCCGUGAUCUUGGAUCCAAUAAUGCUCCCCUUGUUGGAUCCCCUGUAGGCAACUCUUGGUCGAAUUGGGGGUCUCCCAAUGAGAAGGUUGACUGGUCUGUGAAUGGAAGUGGACUCCGACAGCUGCCCAGAUCAUCUUCUAUUGAGCAGCUCAACCCUGGAGAAGAGCCUGACCUAUCAUGGGUGCAAUCUCUUGUGAAGGAAUCUCCAACCGAGAUAAAAGAGAAGCAGGCCGCUCCUAAUUCAGUUGCUGCACCAUCCGGUGAGAGUUUGAAAACCAGUUCCCAAAUUGAUUCCGUUGAUAAUUCCGUUUUAGGAGCUUGGCUUGAGCAGAUGCAACUUG